Molecule: ribosomal RNA, 141 nt
Filed under: Vibrio parahaemolyticus
Lineage: Bacteria; Pseudomonadati; Pseudomonadota; Gammaproteobacteria; Vibrionales; Vibrionaceae
Description: partial 16S ribosomal RNA
Rfam family: Bacterial small subunit ribosomal RNA
Source: RNAcentral
CUUAAAUUGAAGAGUUUGAUCAUGGCUCAGAUUGAACGCUGGCGGCAGGCCUAACACAUGCAAGUCGAGCGGAAACGAGUUAUCUGAACCUUCGGGGAACGAUAGCGGCGUCGAGCGGCGGACGGGUGAGUAAUGCCUAGG